UAUGAACCAUAAAGGAGUUUGUGUUAAAACAUGUUAAAUCCCAUUAAACAUAAAUGCAUUAUUAGUGUGACAGGAGGUCGUCUCCCUCCUGGCCGCUGUUGGGCGCCGUGCCAGCGGUGCGAGUACCGUAAUCGCUGGGCGGUACCAUGCGCCCUUUAUAUUCAGGUGUGCAGGGGUGGAGCUUCCUGUCCUCCGCUCCCUGCUUGCUUCCGUGGUGGCUGUGGUUUGGCAUGACGGCGUUGGUGGACGCAGCCGUUCUCUGGUGUAUCCAGCUGUUGUGAUUGCCGUCAAGGCAUGCUGUCUGAAUACCGUGGCUGAGUGCUGGGUUGAAUUCCCCGGGGUGAAGCGGGGAUCUGCUGGAGCCCUGCUGGGCAUAGGAUCACAGGCUCGCUCUGGGUGGGUGUGGGUGUGUGCGAGCCGUAUUCUUGUGGCUCACACCCUCCAGUUGCCAGGUGCUGUGGCUUACUGUGGCAGUUAUUUCCUGCUGGUGGUGUC
Long non-coding RNA from Amphiprion ocellaris (clown anemonefish), 495 nucleotides. The record is from Ensembl. NCBI's taxonomy places the organism in Eukaryota, Metazoa, Chordata, Actinopteri, Pomacentridae.